Molecule: long non-coding RNA, 542 nt
Organism: Ipomoea nil (Japanese morning glory)
Lineage: Eukaryota; Viridiplantae; Streptophyta; Magnoliopsida; Solanales; Convolvulaceae
Exons: 3
Source: RefSeq, a predicted model, not a curated record
CCGUCUAGGGGUUUUCUUCUCUCUCUUCUCUAAAACCCUUUCUUCCAUUUUUAUUCACAGAAGUUUUCCUCAGUGGCAUGCAAUUCUUUCGUUCAGAUUACGUAUAAAACAAGUGGAGUUUGCAAUGUCAGAGAAAUCAAAUUAAAGGACCACAAAAAGUGCUAUGUCAGUGACGAAGAAAUCUCCACUCUUCUUCAGAGAUACACCCUUAAAACGGUGCUGGCAUUGUUGGAAGAGGUUGAUCAGGCGAAGGAAGUCAAGUAUGAUUGGAAUGCGUUGGUGAAGAAGACCAAGACUGGGAUUACUAAUGCCAAGGAGUAUCAAAUGCUAUGGCGUCAUUUGGCUUACGGCCAUGCAUUUGUCUAUGGAUUGGUUGAUGAAGCUCAACCUCUGGAUGAUGCCAGUGAUUUAGAAUGUGAAUUGGAAGCUUACCCAGCAGUAACUAGUGAAGCAUCAGCAGAAGCUUCAGCAUUUGUGAAGGUGAAACAAAUAUGAAUGCACCGAGUAAUUUCAUCCAGUAAUUUUAUACCCUUUGUGGAAAA